Amblyraja radiata (thorny skate) is the source of this 2993-nucleotide long non-coding RNA. RefSeq lists it as uncharacterized. Lineage: Eukaryota; Metazoa; Chordata; Chondrichthyes; Rajiformes; Rajidae. The record is from RefSeq and is a predicted model, not a curated record. The transcript is spliced from 2 exons.
AAGGCAGGUACAGGAUACUGAGUUGGAUGAUCAGCCAUGAUCAUAUUGAAUGGUGGUGCAGGCUCGAAGGGCCGAAUGGCCUACUCCUGCACCUAAUUUCUAUGUUUCUAAAUACUUUGAUCAAGUUAAUAAGACGUGACCUACCACAUACAAUGACAUGCCGACUGUCCCUAACUGGCCCAUUCCCUUCCAAAUGGGAGUAAAUCCUAUCCUAAGGAAUCCUCUCCAAUAGCUUCCCGACCGCUGUAAUGAGGCUCACUGGCCUAAAAUUCCCUGGAUUCUCUCAACCUAUGUAGUUUCGGUUGCCCAACUAGUGGAAGGAUGCCAUUAAGUCAGAAAGGGUGUGAAAGAGAUUCACCAGGAUGCUACCUGUGUUUGCAGGCUUAAAUUAUAGGGAGAGGCUGGUUCUCUUCUUUGGAGCCUAGGAGACUAAGGUGCAUCCUUAUUCACAUGUACAAGAUGAUGAGGGGCAUGGAUAAAGUCAAUGCUCACUGUCAUUUUCCGAUGUUGAAAAUUCUAAAACUAGAGGGACAACUUUUGGUGCAACUCCUUCCAAUAGAUUUUUUCACACGGAACAUAUUCCCUCCCAUUUUGACGAAAACAUCACUCAAAACUGGUCACUGAUUUCAUGCACUUCCCUAAUAGGACCAGCCUGCACAGUGGAACAGGGUAUAAGAACAGGGUUACAGCCAACAGUUGGCUCAAAUAAUUUAACUAAGAAUGCAUAGUAAUAGUCAAAAUGGUCUCCUAAUGAAAGUCAUAGUCCUGGAGCUGUACAGAUGGAAACAGGCCAUCUAGUCCACCUUAUUCAUACUGGCCUUGUUCCAUUUGUCUGCAUUUGGUCCACAUCCUACCCACAUAUCUAUUGAAAUGUCUUUUAAAAUCCAUAAUUGUAUCCGAUUCUAAAGCUUCCUCUGAAAGUUCAUUCCACAUACACACUACCCUCCGAGUACGUAUUAUACCAACAUCUGGAUUGUGGAGAAUCGGGAGGACUGGAAAACCGCAAGGCUAUCAUCCCUCCUGAAGAUAGGGAGAGAACCACUGGCUGGUAUUCUGACAUUGGAAUAACGCUGCUCAGCGGACAUAGAAAAUGAUCAGACAAUUGAGCAGAGUGAGAAUGAUUUCAUCAAAGUGAAACUCCGUUUGAAAAAUUUGUCGGAGUUCUUUGUGGACGAAACAAACAGGGUUGAUAAAAGAGGAAUCAGUAGAUGUAGUGACCGAUUUUCAAUUAGUUGCAGUUGUAUAAAACAUAACUACUUUGCGUUGGAACACCAAAUUAGACUGCAGCAGGUAGCUUUCUUUUUGAUACACUUUGAAAUAACUUUUCAGGAAAAGGUUUUACAAUAAAAUAAAAGUUUACAAUCAAUUCAGGAGCAUUAAAUACAAGAAAGUUUUCUACAAGUUCUUCCAAAGUUUCUUUUAGUUAGUGGCAGUUGAAUGAAACGUAGCUAUGAAUUGGAAACACCAAAUUGAACUUUACAGCGUAGAUUUAUUUUUGAUGCACUUUGCAAUAACCUUUCAGGGUAAUGUUUUGCAAUCAAUAGACAUUUCUUUUUUUUAAAUCAAAAUCUUUUUAUUUAGUUUUCAAGACCGGGUAAUGUUUUGCAAUCAAUAGACAUUUCUAAUCGAUUCAGGUACAUGACAUCCAAAGAGUGGUGGUUUACAUCAAGUUAUUUCAAAAUUAUUUUUAGUUUGUGGCAGUGAAACGAAACAACUACUCUGUAAUGGAAACUCCUAAUUAGACUGCAGCAAGUAGGUCUUUUCAGGAUAUGAUUUUACGAUCAAAUAAACGUUUCCAAAUCAAUUCAGGAAUAUUACAUAUGUAAAGUGGUUUACAACAAGGUAUUUUGAAAUUAUUUUUACUUAGUGGCAGUUGUUUGGAAAAUUAAAUAUUCUGCACUGGAUACCCCAGAUUUCUUCUCAAGCUUCCCGUAGUGUCCUUGAAUAUAUCUCUUCAGACCUGUGAGAUUUAUCUACCUUCAUAUGCCUUAGGACGUUCAGCACCUCCUCGACCAUAAAACUGACUGUACUUGGGACAACUAAGGGACGCGUUUUGAGAACAGUCAGUUUGAUGGUCGAGGAGGUGCUGAACAUCCUAAGGCAUAUGAAGGUAGAUAAAUCUCGCAGGCCAGAUUGGAUAUUUGAAGACAGUGUGGAAACCUGGGCUGAAUGGCCUAAUUCUGCUUCAUGUUAUGAACAUGAAGAUACGUUCAAGACAGGUGCCUUUGGAAAAGUAUCAACCUGCUUCUCUGUGGGUGAGGGGCGAGGGGGUUGGGAUAGGACUGGUGGAGGGGAGGGGGGGCAGGUAGAGUAUAGGAGAGAGGAAAUAUUGUUCAAAGAAACUUGUAGAAAGGGGAUGAGAGGAACAGUGUACUUUCCCUUUAAUUUUCAUUUGAUUCAAUCUCUACUGGCAAGAGCCGAUUUGUGAAUGUAGAUUCAUAUUUUGAAGUGCACUUUAACUUCUGUGUUUGUUAUUCAAUGAUUUAACAAUUAUUUGCAAUUUCAUCCAUAAUAAAUGCUGAUGAGCCAAGUAACUUUUUUGAAAGUUUUUAUUGUUCGGAUAUGCCCCAUACGAAAACACAGCUAUCUGCACCUACUAUGCGACUAUCGAUUCAUUUAAGUUGAAAAGUGCACAACAGAUCCUUGCAAUUUUAUUAAUUUUGGGUACUUGGCUUUCAGAGUUGGUCAUCAUGUACUCCAGUGGUACAGUAUGACUUAGAAUUAGGUAUUUUUGCCUGAUAUCACCAAUCACACGCUCUACAUGAAUGCGUAAAUGUGCUAAUUCACGAGUUUUUUCCACAUCCAGCGCAGAUAGUUGUGUUUUUUCUCUUGUAAAUGCAGGAAUUUCUGCUUCACAAUUGUAAAAUCCGGCAUCAUCUUUUAUGUCAAAACCGUGAUCAGCUAAAAUGACAUCUCCAGGGAGUAGGUUGUCAAAAAAGUUAGAUGAAAGUGUAAUUGUUUUAUCUGUGCCUCUGCCCCCCCCCCCACCCCCA